This 467-nucleotide ribosomal RNA is filed under the name uncultured bacterium. RNAcentral's name for it is "bacterial SSU rRNA". It matches the Rfam family "Bacterial small subunit ribosomal RNA", at positions 328 to 793 of the family's 1533-position model. The record is from RNAcentral.
UUUCCAGACUCCUACGGGAGGCAGCAGUGAGGAAUAUUGGUCAAUGGGCGGGAGCCUGAACCAGCCAAGUCGCGUGAGGGAAGAAGGUACUGAGUAUUGUAAACCUCUUUUGCCAGGGGACAAAGGCGACCACGGGUGGCCGUAAGAGGGUACCUGGAGAAAAAGCAUCGGCUAACUCCGUGCCAGCAGCCGCGGUAAUACGGAGGAUGCGAGCGUUAUCCGGAUUUAUUGGGUUUAAAGGGUGCGUAGGCGGGCUUUUAAGUCAGCGGUAAAAAUUCGGGGCUCAACCCCGUCCGGCCGUUGAAACUGGGGGCCUUGAGUGGGCGAGAAGAAGGCGGAAUGCGUGGUGUAGCGGUGAAACGCAUAGAUAUCGCGCAGAACUCCGAUUGCGAAGGCAGUAUGCCGGCUCCACACUGACGCUGAGGCACGAAAGCGUGGGUAUCGAACAGGAUUAGAUACCCCAGUAU